GGCAGAAGAAGGAUAAGGAUAAAGUGAGGCGACAAAUGAUGGCUUCCAUAGCAGAUCAGAAAUGGAAUUUUAUAGAACACAGUCAAAGGGGACAGGACACCACACCACCCUUGAAAAGAGGCUUCAAUAUUCUGCCUAAGUCCUUCUCGGAGCUAUCCAAUUAGCAUUCCAGGCUACGGAGCUGUUUUUCUCCAUGGGAUAAUUUUAAAAGUGUUGGACAACAAUGUAUUUGCACAUCAGCAUAUUCCCUCCUAGUAAGAGAGAAAAAUUGCCUGGAUUUUUGUAUGAACAAACACAUGUCCUGUUUUUUGAUCAGUGGUCAAAGAAAGUAGAAGCCCAGCAGUAGUAAAGAUGCUUUGGAAAAUGAAAAACAAUGAGGACUGGAGAUGUUGCUGAACUACAACUUGCAGGCGGUCUAGCCAUUAUGGCCACAAAUGAGAGUGCUUUCUAAUUAUCCAGCAUUAGCUGGAAAGUCACCGGUUCCCCAAUCUGGAUAAAGGAUGCUAAUUUAAAUUUAUGCUGGUUCCAUCAUUUGGCUGUAAGUUUUCAUGGAUCAUAUUCUGGAACAAUAAAAUACAAGUUAUGGCCUUCAGGAUAAUAAUAUUUCAGUUACUUGAAAAAUGCUAUUACCCUCCCCAU
Long non-coding RNA from Pantherophis guttatus, 639 nucleotides. RefSeq lists it as uncharacterized. The record is from RefSeq and is a predicted model, not a curated record. Lineage: Eukaryota; Metazoa; Chordata; Lepidosauria; Squamata; Colubridae.